This 440-nucleotide ribosomal RNA is filed under the name uncultured bacterium. Its description in RNAcentral is "partial 16S ribosomal RNA". It matches the Rfam family "Bacterial small subunit ribosomal RNA", at positions 338 to 795 of the family's 1533-position model. The record is from RNAcentral.
CCUACGGGGGGCAGCAGUGGGGAAUAUUGCACAAUGGGGGAAACCCUGAUGCAGCGACGCCGCGUGAGUGAAGAAGUAUUUCGGUACGUAAAGCUCUAUCAGCAGGGAAGAAAAUGACGGUACCUGACUAAGAAGCCCCGGCUAACUACGUGCCAGCAGCCGCGGUAAUACGUAUGGGGCAAGCGUUAUCCGGAUUUACUGGGUGUAAAGGGAGCGUAGACGGCAGCGCAAGUCUGGAGUGAAAUCCCAUGGCUUAACCAUGGAACUGCUUUGGAAACUGUGCAGCUAGAGUGCAGGAGAGGUAAGCGGAAUGCCUAGUGUAGCGGUGAAAUGCGUAGAUAUUAGGAGGAACACCAGUGGCGAAGGCGGCUUACUGGACUGUAACUGACGUUGAGGCUCGAAAGCGUGGGGAGCAAACAGGAUUAGAUACCCCAGUAGUC